GCAGCACGCCGAGGCGUGUCGAUGCGUGGCGUGUCGCGGUGCACCUUGGCACGGCGUGACGGGGGAGGCGUGUCGAUGCAUGACGGGCCGUGUUGAUGCGUGGCGUGCCAAGGCGUGUCGCCACGGGCCGGGACGUGUUGAUGCGUGCCGUGGCGUGGCUCGGCGUGUCGGGCCGUGUCGAUGCCUGGCGUGUCGAGGCGUGGCGUGCCGCGGCGUGUCACUGCGUGACGGCGGGUGCCGCGCAGGUGGAGCUGGCCACGGGGCAGUUCCCCUACCAGAACUGCAAGACGGACUUCGAGGUGCUCACCAAGGUGCUGCAGGAGGAGCCCCCCCGGCUGCCCCCCGCCAUGGGCUUCUCCGCCGACUUCCAGGCCUUCGUCAGGGACUGCCUCACCAAGGACCACCGCAAGAGACCAAAGUACAACAAGCUGCUGGAGCACACCUUCAUCAAGCGCUACGAGACGCUGGAGGUGGACGUGGCCUCGUGGUUCAAGGACGUCAUGGCCCGCACAGAGUCGCCCCGCACCAGCGGCGUCCUGGGCCAGCACCACCUCCCCUUCUUCACCAGGUAGCCCCGCGGCCGCGGCCCGUGGGCCUCCGGCACCCGCGGGCCGUGCUCCCGGGGGCCGUGAGCCCGUGGUCUCGUGAUCCUGGGGGCCACGAUCCCAUGGUCUCAUGGUCCCGUGAGCCUGUGGUCCCCGUGCUCCCAUGACCCAUGGUCCUGCAGCCCGUGGCUG
Molecule: long non-coding RNA, 737 nt
Filed under: Apteryx rowi (Okarito brown kiwi)
Lineage: Eukaryota; Metazoa; Chordata; Aves; Apterygiformes; Apterygidae
Description: lncRNA (ENSARWG00000012091.1)
Source: RNAcentral